Clupea harengus (Atlantic herring) is the source of this 734-nucleotide long non-coding RNA. The record is from Ensembl. NCBI's taxonomy places the organism in Eukaryota, Metazoa, Chordata, Actinopteri, Clupeiformes, Clupeidae.
GUCUGAGAGCUGUGACUCUUUAACUCGGAGAGUUGUGACUCAGUAAUUCAGAGAGCUGAAACUCUGUAACUCUGAAAGUGGUGACUCAGUAACUCUGAGAGCUGUGACUCAAUUCUGAGCAGACUCUGAAUGAGGUGGUUUCUUACCAGGUGAUGUAGCAGAUGUUGGCACAGAAGGUGUGGAUGGUGUAGUUGUGCUUGCCGUAGUUGAAGGUGUGGAUGGCGUAGUUGAAGGUGUGGAUGGCGUAGUUGAAGGUGUGGAUGGUGUAGUUGUAGGUGUGCCUUCCGUAGUUGAAGGUGUGGAUGGCGUAGUUGAAGGUGUGGAUGGCGUAGUUGUGGGUGUGGAUGGCGUAGUUGAAGGUGUGGAUGGCGUAGUUGAAGGUGUGCUUGCCGUAGUUGAAGGUGUGGAUGGCGUAGUUGAAGGUGUGGAUGGCGUAGUUGAAGGUGUGGAUGGUGUAGUUGUAGGUGUGCUUGCCGUAGUUGAAGGUGUGCUUGUCGUAGUUGAAGGUGUGGAUGGUGUAGUUGAAGGUGUGGAUGGCGUAGUUGAAGGUGUGCUUGCCGUAGGUGUGGAUGGCGUAGUUGAAGGUGUGCUUGCCGUAGUUGUAGGUGUGGAUGGCGUAGUUGAAGGUGUGGAUGUGAUGCUAGAUGCAGUACUUCCUGGAGUGUUAGAAGUUAUCUGUGCGGAUGCUGUGAACAAAAAGUAGUUUGUGAGAUAAAGAUGUGAAACUCUGAUGC